RNAcentral lists this ribosomal RNA (503 nucleotides) under uncultured Bacteroidota bacterium. RNAcentral describes it as "bacterial SSU rRNA". It matches the Rfam family "Bacterial small subunit ribosomal RNA", at positions 903 to 1382 of the family's 1533-position model. Lineage: Bacteria; Pseudomonadati; Bacteroidota. The record is from RNAcentral.
UGCGCCUUGCCAGCCCGCUCAGAACUUAAAUGAAUUGACGGGGGCCCGCACAAGCGGAGGAGCAUGUGGUUUAAUUCGAUGAUACGCAGGAACCUUACCUGGGCUUAAAUGCUUAAUGACGUACUGGGAAACUGGUAUUUCUUCGGACAUUUUGCAAGGUGCUGCAUGGUUGUCGUCAGCUCGUGCCGUGAGGUGUCGGGUUAAGUCCCAUAACGAGCGCAACCCCUAUUGUUAGUUGCCAUCAGGUCAUGCUGGGGACUCUAACAAAACUGCCCGCGUAAGCGUGGAGGAAGGUGGGGAUGACGUCAAAUCAGCACGGCCCUUACGUCCAGGGCUACACACGUGCUACAAUGGCCGGUACAGAGGGCAGCCACUUGGUGACAAGGAGCAAAUCUCAAAAGCCGGUCUCAGUUCGGAUCGGAGUCUGCAACUCGACUCCGUGAAGUUGGAUUCGCUAGUAAUCGUAGAUCAGCAAUGCUACGGUGAAUACGUUCCCGGGCCUU